UCGCCAUUCGACCUUCCACGCGCUUCCGGCCUUUAAAACCUGAAAAUGUUAAAUAUGGGAUGAGCAUACAGGGUACACUCAGUGUGGAAACAUGCAAUAAUUGUCCAUGUUAAUAAAAUGGUAACACAUAUUGUCAUAACGUAACAUAAAUUUCCAUACGCACUGUGGCAACUCCAAGGACUUUAAUGUCCCGGACCCUAUAUGUGGGCCCCUGGCGACAAUAUAAUGGUUGCAACCCUGUAACAUGAAAUCGCUUUGUGGCAUACCAAGGACGGUGAAGUCCUGGACCAAUUAUACUGGCCCCUAGCGAUAAAUAUUUUUACAACACAUACGGUAAACACAUAAUAUUAAAAUGGACAAAUAUUAACCACGUGCAUGUACUGAAAUAAAUCCCACACCUGGAACUUGAGCUUUGAAAGCUAACUUGAGUAAUUCAAUCAAAAGUAACGUCCUAGUCGCGCCGCAC
Molecule: long non-coding RNA, 466 nt
Filed under: Salvia miltiorrhiza (redroot sage)
Lineage: Eukaryota; Viridiplantae; Streptophyta; Magnoliopsida; Lamiales; Lamiaceae
Description: long non-coding RNA (SMIL_LNC012370)
Source: RNAcentral